CAGUUAAACCGUCAACGUUUAAAAAACAUCUGUUUUCGGAUUCUGGAGCACCAACCGUACACAGUCACACUGCGUGAUCGACAAAGAAGAGCUUUCCCUGUUCACUCAGGGACCGACGACCUGAGGCUGGGAUCCCAGAGGCGACCUUGCGGGAUCCUGACAGCUCCCGGAAGGCGUGCACUGCCUUUGAGAAACAGUUCAGGCUUUCCUCGCAGGGCUGACACUGGCCUUCUUGGGGUUCUAGGACCCCGUGGAGAAUACCCCCCAACACCCGGACCCGGGGAGUGGCUACGGGCGCGGGAGGAAAGCGGAGCGCAGAUGCCUUCGGCCCGAGGCUGCGCUCGUCCCCUGCAGGGGGCGGGCGACUCUUGCGGCAGGAGGAGCAGGCCCGGAAGCCCUCGGAUCUGCGUGUGGAGCCAGGGUCCGAGCGUGGCCGCCGAGAUGACUGUGAGCCGCAGUGUCUCCCGCUUUCAUCUCCGGAAUGCGCGGGGCAGCACACACGAGGCUUGAGGUUGUCCACAACCCUGAGGUGAGGGGAUGGUGCUCUCCUGACCCUGAGACUUCUGGGAAAGAGACAUCAAGAACUUGAAGCUAGAUUUAUUGGACUGUUGAAAUACUGACAGAGGUAACCCUGCUCCUGGUAUUCCUAUGACAGAUAGGCCAAGCUUCAACUGCUGAAGAACCCAAAACUCACAGCAAGGGUGGGACCUUCAUGGUUGAUCCUAGACCAAAUAAAAAUGGGAAAAAAGAGACUUGAAAUUUUCAUUGGAUUGAAACAUUAGGUAAUGGAUCUUUCCCUUAUUUUCUUGUGGCAACAGGAGGAGAAAUUGCAUUCCCAAGACUUUAUUUGGGAACUUUUUUUUUUGUCUUUGUUUAUUUGGGAACUUAAUAGUAGUGGCUAAGAUGGGUGUGGUGGCACAGGCCUACAAUCCCAGCAGGCAUUACAGUCCCAGGAAGCUGAGCUAAAAAGACCACUGGAAGUUCCAAGAGGCCAGAUUGAGUGAGUUCAAGGCCAGUCUGGACUUCAUACUGAGACCCUGCCUUAAAAAACCAAAACAUGAAAAAUACAAUAAUAAUGACAAUUCUGCUGCUCUGGUAGAACUGUUUGGCCUGUGCUGGUAUGUGCUACUUGUUAUAAAACCUUGUCUUGUGAGCUGAGGUGAGUGAGCAGCUAAAGAAAACUUGUCAUAGAGUAUCCUUUUCUUUCUUCCCUCAAAUUUUCCAGAUGUUUGUCUGCUCUCAGCUGGAAGCUCACAGAUACUAAGAAUACAAUAACAUAAUUUGUCAUACAUUUUGAAAUUCUGCUAUGGCUGCGACAGUAUGAAAACAUCAGUUACAAAACUUUCUUUCAGUGAAGUUGGAAAUUUCAGCCUAGUGUUUAUAAUAUCUGAGGGAAAAAAAGAUUGAACCAAAUAAUACGUAUAUACACAUUUAAAUAUAAAUCUUUUGUUCUGACAUGCAGUUCUACAGAUAAUAAACAGAUAUGUUCAAAAUAAAUAACAAAAUACAAAGCCUUUUUGAAAAAAAGUACUUGACAGGCAUGGUGGUGCACGCCUGUAAUCCCAGCACCUGGGGAGGCUGAGCCAGGAGAAUCACGUGAGUUGGAGGCCAGUUAUUUUGUUUUUGUUUGUCUUUUUGAGACAGGGUGUUGCCGUGCAGUUCAGGCUAGCCUUGGACUCACUUUGUAGCCCAGGCUAGUCUUGAACUCACAAUGAUCCUCCUACCUCAGCCUCCUGAGUGUUGGGAUUACAGGUGUGUGCCACCACCACAGGCUGGAGGCCAGUUUGGGCUACAUAGUAAGUUCAAGGACACCCUGAACUACAAUAGUGAGACCGCUUCUCAAAAAAAAACAAACUUGGCACCCAAACAAAACUAAUGAUGAAAUCAUUUCACAAUGAAUACCUCAAGAAUGAUAGAGCUGUAAAACCCACAAAAUGAACCAUAAUGUAAACAAUUUUGCUAAUAAUAAUGUGUCAAUACUGAUUCAUCAGUUGUAACAAAUAUACCACACUAAUGAAAGACCUUAGUAAUAGGGGAAGCUAGGAGUGUCGGGGGAGGGAGUAGAUGGGAACUCUGUAUUUUCUGUUCAGUUUUUCUGUAAACUGAAACCGCUCUAAGAAAUAAAGUCUGUUAAUACUUUUUAUAUAUUAAGAAUGAAAAAGCCGACUCCCUGCCUCGUAGGCCCCGGAAGGAGG
This 2195-nucleotide long non-coding RNA is filed under the name Chinchilla lanigera (long-tailed chinchilla). RNAcentral describes it as "lncRNA (ENSCLAG00000029241.1)". Lineage: Eukaryota; Metazoa; Chordata; Mammalia; Rodentia; Chinchillidae. The record is from RNAcentral.